This 28-nucleotide non-coding RNA is filed under the name Mus musculus (house mouse). The record is from RNAcentral. Lineage: Eukaryota; Metazoa; Chordata; Mammalia; Rodentia; Muridae. RNAcentral also lists the same sequence under 1 other name.
UACUGUACCAGAAGUUGCUGAGUUUUGC